RNAcentral lists this ribosomal RNA (254 nucleotides) under uncultured bacterium. Its description in RNAcentral is "partial 16S ribosomal RNA". It matches the Rfam family "Archaeal small subunit ribosomal RNA", at positions 474 to 727 of the family's 1478-position model. The record is from RNAcentral.
UACCAGCGCCACAAGUGGGAGCCACGUUUAUUGGGCUUAAAGCGUUCGUAGCCGGCUUUGUAAAUCUCUUGUGAAAUUGUCAGACUUAAUUUGACAGCGCGCAAGAGCGACUGCAAAACUAGGGACCGGGAGGGGAUAGGAGUAUUCCAGGGGGAGCGGUAAAAUGCUAUAAUCCUUGGAGGACUACCUGUGGCGAAGGCGCCUAUCCAGAACGGGUCCGACGGUGAGGAACGAAAGCUGGGGGAGCGAUCCGG